RNAcentral lists this ribosomal RNA (262 nucleotides) under uncultured bacterium. RNAcentral's name for it is "partial 16S rRNA". It matches the Rfam family "Bacterial small subunit ribosomal RNA", at positions 1156 to 1417 of the family's 1533-position model. The record is from RNAcentral.
UGAUAAACUGGAGGAAGGUGGGGAUGANGUCNAGUCAUCAUGGCCCUUACGAGUAGGGCUACACACGUGCUACAAUGGCGUAUACAAAGAGAAGCGACCUCGNGAGAGCAAGCGGACCUCAUAAAGUACGUCGUAGUCCGGAUUGGAGUCUGCAACUCGACUCCAUGAAGUCGGAAUCGCUAGUAAUCGUAGAUCAGAAUGCUACGGUGAAUACGUUCCCGGGCCUUGUACACACCGCCCGUCACACCAUGGGAGUGNNNUG